Molecule: ribosomal RNA, 179 nt
Filed under: Leptusa sp. 1 BT-2011
Lineage: Eukaryota; Metazoa; Arthropoda; Insecta; Coleoptera; Staphylinidae
Also listed under: 1 other name
Description: partial 28S ribosomal RNA
Rfam family: Eukaryotic large subunit ribosomal RNA
Source: RNAcentral
GGACCAAGGAGUCUAGCAUGUGCGCGAGUCAUUGGGACUAUCGAAUCCUAAAGGCGAAAUGAAAGUAAAGCUGAGCUCUGCUCGGUGAGGGAAGAUGGGUGACUUGUCGCCUCGCACUCCCGGGGCGUCUCGUUCUCAUUGCGAGAUGAGGCGUACCUUGAGCGUACACGCUGGGACCC